RNAcentral lists this unclassified non-coding RNA (218 nucleotides) under Hevea brasiliensis (rubber tree). The record is from RNAcentral. Lineage: Eukaryota; Viridiplantae; Streptophyta; Magnoliopsida; Malpighiales; Euphorbiaceae.
UGCAGAACAGUUGUUUCGGAUCUUGGGAUUUGUCUCACAAUCGGGUUUUGACUUGUUUCGUUUUCUCUCACAGCAUAUUUAGUUCUCUUGGUUCUUUGGUUCUCACAUAGUUUUGUGACAAUUCCCCUGAUAUUGCUGUUGCUUUCGUGGUUUAUCUGGUUUAGUCAUCUUAAAAUUAAAUUCCCUGGUACUGUUUCUGUUUGUUUGGACUGCUUUGG